CGGGCACCAGGGCCCGGCAGGAGGCGUAGCCGUAGACGUCCUUGCUGCGCAGGAUGUGCGGCGAGAACUGGUGCUUGAGGCUGCAGAGGAAGCUCCAGAGCUCCGCGUCCGAGCUCAUGAACUCCGUGCUGCGGGGCACCAGCAGCUUGAAGGCGUCGCCCAGCGUCUCGGUGCUGUCGGCCAGCGACAGUUGCGACCGCGAGUACACCACCUUCUCCUCCCGCGCCUCGGGCUCGGCCCCUCCUCCGGCCCGGAGGCCGCCGCCCCGGGCGGCCGNNNNNNNNNNNNNNNNNNNNNNNNNNNNNNNNNNNNNNNNNNNNNNNNNNNNNNNNNNNNNNNNNNNNNNNUCCGCCCUCCCGCCCGCGUCCGGCUCCGCGGCGGCCGCCGCUGCUGGCGCCUCCGGGCCGGCGCCGCUCUCGCUACUUUUCUCGCCUCGGCCGCCGCCCCUCCCCCUCCGAGGGCGGAAGACGCGGGCGAAUAUCCUGCCGCCCGGGGGAAGCAGGGCCGCUCUGCCUGGACACUACCCACUCGUUGCUCCAGCUGAUGAGAGAUCAACCACGGCACAGCCGUUCUCCUUGACGGAAACAGCCCUGGUUUUAUGAAUGAGUCGUUCUGCCUAAAUGACUGCGCUCCACUUUCUUCACUGAAGUUGUAGCAUGUGCCUCUGCAGCACCCCCUCUCUCAUCUAGGAAAGCUGCAGCGUCACAAUCUAUAACGUUCUCCUGGUGAUGAGUGCGUUGUUAAGGACACAUUCCCUUCUGCGUUUGAGGGGAGGAGGGCUGGGAAAGUAGGGCUAGUUUCUUCCAGUUCCUAGGACUGUCCUGAGACACUAUAAAGUUUAUGGAAAGUUCUCAGAUUUUUCUCCUUAAGGGGUGGCUGCCUAACAUCCUAAGUUUUGCUCCUUUACUUCUCGUGGGGAAUGAUGCUUCCUACAUCAGAUAACCAAGGGAUGGAUAAUGAGAAUGUUUAUAGGGCAGUGGUCCAUUCCCUGGUCCUUCUCUCUCUCUCUCUCUCUCUCUCUCUCUCUCUCCUGACUGGCACUCCAGUGGGCACUCCGUGUUUGCUAAGUCCAUCAGUGAAAUCCUGCGGAUUACUUGCGAUGGGGUGAGAAAGAGGGAUAUGGUGAAAUGGCUUAGAACAGCACAAUUUUAUAUUUUGCAUUUAUGAUGCAACUUUCUCCUAACUCCCUUACAUUGUUAAGGUGGAUCUCAAUACUUAGAACUUUGACGUAAGCAUGCAGAUUUUACCCCUCAGUGAGCAUCUUGCUUUGCAGUUCAAGACUGAUAAAGCAACAGAAGUUUUCUGAUUUGCAUAUAGUUGCUAAUAGUCCCCCUCCAAUAUUUGAGCUGAAAGACACCAAGUUCAGUCUCCUUAUUUCACAGAUGAGGAAAUCUGGACCCACGGAGGCUCACUAAUAGGGCUUGUUGAUAGCACCACCGGGACUCCUGUUUAUUGGAUUCCUAACCCAGAGGUCUUUAUAUUUCACCGGAGGCUUCUGGGCUGCCUAGACUCGGAGGUUCAGCAGAAAAUGCAUAAUGCAUGAGACGUGACCAAUGGACAGAGCUGCACCCCUAUUUCUACUUCAACUCUCCCCAAAAUGGAGCAGUUUUGAUCGGUGUUGUAUUGGAAUGAACAGAUAUUUUGUUUGAACGAGGUUUUAAUAAAAACUAAACCAAAACUAUUCUGAAAGUUGUU
Vulpes vulpes (red fox) is the source of this 1695-nucleotide long non-coding RNA. NCBI's taxonomy places the organism in Eukaryota, Metazoa, Chordata, Mammalia, Carnivora, Canidae. The record is from Ensembl.